GAUGAACGCUGGCGGCGCGCCUAACACAUGCAAGUCGUACGAUUAAAGCACCUUCGGGUGUGUAUAAAGUGGCGAACGGCUGAGUAACACGUGGGCAACCUGCCCCUUUCAUUGGGAUAGCCACGGGAAACCGUGGAUAAUACCGAAUACUUCGAGACUUCCGCAUGGAAGACUCGAGAAAGCUCCGGCGGAGAGGGAUGGGCCCGCGGCCUGUUAGCUUGUUGGUGGGGUAACGGCCUACCAAGGCAAUGAUGGGUAGCUGGGUUGAGAGACCGACCAGCCAGAUUGGGACUGAGACACGGCCCAGACUCCUACGGGAGGCAGCAGUGGGGAAUCUUGCACAAUGGGCGAAAGCCUGAUGCAGCGACGCCGCGUGCGGGAUGAAGGCCUUCGGGUUGUAAACCGCUUUCAGCAGGGACGAGGCGAAAGUGACGGUACCUGCAGAAGAAGCCCCGGCUAACUACGUG
This 467-nucleotide ribosomal RNA is filed under the name uncultured bacterium. Its description in RNAcentral is "partial 16S ribosomal RNA". It matches the Rfam family "Bacterial small subunit ribosomal RNA", at positions 28 to 507 of the family's 1533-position model. The record is from RNAcentral.